UCCAGAGAUAUCCUGAACACAACACCACGCACAUCGUGUUCUUGUUUCUGCUUCUCUCCCAAAAGAAACAGGAGCUUCGAGUACCCUCCCAAAUUCUCGCCGCCGACUUCUCCCCUCUCUUCCCCGGUGAACGCGGGAUUUGAGUUGGGCAAGCAUCCCGCAUGAGAUAGUUGUGCUUGUAAUUAGGGUCUGAAUCAAUUGGAUUUGGCAUCAAGAUUUCGUCGGUGUAUUUCCAUCAGAUCUGGCCAUGCAGGCCGCCGGAGACGGAGAUGAUAGUGAUGGUUGUUGCCAUAUCCGAGUCUGUUCGAUAUAGCCCUUUUUUCUAUGUUGCCCAUGGAGGAUUAGAGGCUACCAGCGGCAGGACUAGCAUGAGUAGGCCUAGGUGUUGCGGGCGCGGAGGAUUUCUGAAGGUGGUGAGCUACUCAUUCCCGGCGGCGCCCAGUGCCAAACUGAACAAUUGAACAUAGAAGACGAGUAAUUUCAGGAUAGAGGGCAGCCUCGCAGAUUGGCGCUGUUGCUAGGGACAGCAAGGGCCACGUUUUUGUCUCUGUAUGCAGAAUGCUGACCCCCAGUCAAAGUGUUGAGGAGGCCGAGGCAAAAUCUGCCCUCGCCGGACUGCAUGCUCUUGCAAAAUACUACAGCGGGCCUUUGAUCCUGGAGAUGGAUUGCCAUGCAAUCAUAAAAGAGCUAGCUGCGGGAGACCAAUCCAGAUUACAGUGCUAUGCCCUGAUCAAGGAUAUUAAACAAGCACUCUCAGUUUUUUCAGCUUGCAGUGUCAGCCAUGUGGUAAGAACUUGCAAUGCUCGUGCUCAUGAGCUUGCAGCAGCAACCAAAAAUGUCAGCGACCAGGAGAUCAUCGCAAACGUCCCGGAUAAACUCCGUCCACUGAUGAUGUCUGAAUUUGGGAGAUUUGGUAUGAGCCCAUUCGUCGCAUCUUUCACAAUUUGGAGUUAUCAGCUGUGAAAGUCGCAGGCCAGGCAACUUCACAACGCCGAUGCUGAAAGGAUGAUGAUGCAUGGCACGUCAUUUAGCAUAGUAGUCUAGCUUAAUGAACCCUGAUCAUUUUGUUUGUACUUUUAUAUAACUCUCUUAUGCAUGCAAGUUUUGUAUUAAGCGUUUUUAUUUUGUGUUUUCCUUUUUCAUGUGAGUUCUCUUGAUCAGUUACUGAUUGUGAUAUGUUUUGAGACUAAUAUACUUAGCAAAUUAUUUUAGCAAUA
Aegilops tauschii subsp. strangulata is the source of this 1217-nucleotide long non-coding RNA. RefSeq lists it as uncharacterized. NCBI's taxonomy places the organism in Eukaryota, Viridiplantae, Streptophyta, Magnoliopsida, Poales, Poaceae. The record is from RefSeq and is a predicted model, not a curated record.